CUCAUGCCUGGUGCCUUGGUAGAGGCUGAAAGACUGGACUCAACUGGGACUGUCAACUGGAGUGUCUAUGUGUGGUGUGACUUCUCCAGAAAGGUGGUCUCAGGCUGUGUAGUGGUGGAAGACUAAGUGCACGAAGGCACUGACAUUGAUGAAGAGUAAAGUAUCCAUCACCCUGGAGGAUAUAUCUGCCUACUCAUCAUUUGUUUGCCAUCAACUCUAAGGAGCAUGAUGCUACUUGUUUUGCAUGAUCAUGUCAUGUAAUUUCUACAACAUGCCUUCAAGGUCCUGCGUGGAUUAGGGUUUGGGAUCUGAAAAGAGGAGCCGCACACAAAUGAGAGAAAAAAGACAAUUGACAAUUUUGAAAUGUUGGGGAGCCAGGCGGGCAAGUCCAACUCAAGGAGAGGGACUUCCACUGAUGCUCAGGCCCCUCCAACCUUUUAUUGAUCUGGAAUAACCCUUAGGUAAGGAGAUUUCAAUGACACAGGGAUUAGCUCAUCAGCAGACAAUUUUCAGAAAUAGGCAGAAUAUCUAAUCAACAAUAAUCAACAAGGAUUUACAUAAGUAUCUAAGGAAUUAAGUGAACUAAGGUGGGGAUGAUGCUUCAGCUACCAUUAGCUAAAUUAACUGGGUGAU
This is a long non-coding RNA of Myotis lucifugus (little brown bat), 633 nucleotides long. RefSeq lists it as uncharacterized. Lineage: Eukaryota; Metazoa; Chordata; Mammalia; Chiroptera; Vespertilionidae. The transcript has 3 exons. The record is from RefSeq and is a predicted model, not a curated record.